This 441-nucleotide ribosomal RNA is filed under the name uncultured bacterium. Its description in RNAcentral is "partial 16S ribosomal RNA". It matches the Rfam family "Bacterial small subunit ribosomal RNA", at positions 338 to 795 of the family's 1533-position model. The record is from RNAcentral.
CCUACGGGAGACAGCAGUGGGGAAUAUUGCACAAUGGGGGCAACCCUGAUGCAGCGACGUCGCGUGAGUGAAGAAGUAUCUCGGUAUGUUAAGCUUCAUCAGCAGGAACGAGACAAGACGGUACCUGACUAAUAAGCAUCGGCGAACUGCGUGCCAGUAGCCGAGGUAAUACGGAGGGGGCAAGCUGUAUCCGGAAUCACUGGGUGUAAAGGGAGCGUAGACGGCUGUGGAAGGCUGAAGUGAAAGGCGGGGGCCCAACCCCUGGACUGCUUUGGGAACUGUACGGCUGGAGUGCGGGAGAGGUAAGUGGAAUGCGUAGUGUAGCGGUGAAAUGCGUAGAUAUCAGGAGGAACCCCAGUGGCGAAGGCGGCUUACUGAACUAUAACUGACGUUGAGGCACGAAAGCGUGGGGAGCGAACAGGAUUAGAUACCCGUGUAGUC